RNAcentral lists this ribosomal RNA (497 nucleotides) under uncultured bacterium. RNAcentral describes it as "partial 16S ribosomal RNA". It matches the Rfam family "Bacterial small subunit ribosomal RNA", at positions 28 to 507 of the family's 1533-position model. The record is from RNAcentral.
GAUGAACGCUGGCGGCGUGCCUAAUACAUGCAAGUCGAGCGAACAGACGAGGAGCUUGCUCCUCUGACGUUAGCGGCGGACGGGUGAGUAACACGUGGAUAACCUACCUAUAAGACUGGGAUAACUUCGGGAAACCGGAGCUAAUACCGGAUAACAUGUUGAACCGCAUGGUUCAACAGUGAAAGACGGUUUUGCUGUCACUUAUAGAUGGAUCCGCGUCGCAUUAGCUAGUUGGUAAGGUAACGGCUUACCAAGGCAACGAUGCGUAGCCGACCUGAGAGGGUGAUCGGCCACACUGGAACUGAGACACGGUCCAGACUCCUACGGGAGGCAGCAGUAGGGAAUCUUCCGCAAUGGGCGAAAGCAUGACGGAGCAACGCCGCGUGAGUGAAGAAGGUCUUCGGAUCGUAAAACUCUGUUAUUAGGGAAGAACAAAUGUGUAAGUAACUAUGCACGUCUUGACGGUACCUAAUCAGAAAGCCACGGCUAACUACGUG